GCGGGGAUGCCGGAGCGGUCAAACGGGAUGGGCUAAGGACCCAUUGGCUUAGUGCCUACGCAGGUUCGAAUCCUGUUCCCCGCA
This 84-nucleotide transfer RNA is filed under the name Nanobdellota archaeon. RNAcentral's name for it is "tRNA-Leu". It matches the Rfam family "tRNA". From Rfam's summary of the family: Transfer RNA (tRNA) molecules are approximately 80 nucleotides in length. Their secondary structure includes four short double-helical elements and three loops (D, anti-codon, and T loops). Further hydrogen bonds mediate the characteristic L-shaped molecular structure. tRNAs have two regions of fundamental functional importance: the anti-codon, which is responsible for specific mRNA codon recognition, and the 3' end, to which the tRNAs corresponding amino acid is attached (by aminoacyl-tRNA synthetases). tRNAs cope with the degeneracy of the genetic code in two manners: having more than one tRNA (with a specific anti-codon) for a particular amino acid; and 'wobble' base-pairing, i.e. permitting non-standard base-pairing at the 3rd anti-codon position. RNAcentral also lists the same sequence under 1 other name. Lineage: Archaea; Nanobdellati; Nanobdellota. The record is from RNAcentral.